CCCAACUAUCCCUAUUAAUCAUUACGUCAAUCCUAGAAACCAACAAAAUAGGAUCAAACGUCCUAUUUCAUUAUUCCAUGCUAAUAUAUUCAAGCGUUAGCCUGCUUUAAACACUCUAAUUUUUUCAAAGUAACAGUCCUGUUUCCCUGCAACACCAAGUAAAUGGCAUCACAGUUCUUCAAGAAGGAGGAAUCAGUAAGGCCAGUACAUACCAAUGGCACGACCAACCUACUGACCCCGAAAUUCAACUACGAGCUUUUUAACUGCAACAACUUUAAUAUACGCUAUUGGAGCUGGAAUUACCGCGGCUGCUGGCACCAGACUUGCCCUCCAA
This 334-nucleotide unclassified non-coding RNA is filed under the name uncultured Glomeraceae. Its description in RNAcentral is "sequence contains 18S rRNA gene". The record is from RNAcentral. Lineage: Eukaryota; Fungi; Glomeromycota; Glomeromycetes; Glomerales; Glomeraceae.